Molecule: non-coding RNA, 573 nt
Organism: Cinara cedri
Lineage: Eukaryota; Metazoa; Arthropoda; Insecta; Hemiptera; Aphididae
Source: the annotation of a GenBank genome assembly
CGUUCCUAAAAUUUAACAUAAAAAUAAAAAUUAUACAAAACUAAACAAAUUUUAACAUAAUUAUUAUAUAAUAAAAUUUAUAAUACAGAAAAUAUCUCAUUUUUUAUCCGUCGAAAAUCUAAUGCUACAAAUACAAAAUUAUUACUAUUAUACGGAUACACGAUGAUCAGUCGAAGUAAAUGAUUGAUUACCAAAUAAGAUCUCUAUAACCUUGCCUAGUUCAAAAAUAUCACAGGCGAGUUUAUCAAGAUCUCACUCAAUAGUCAAGUGUGUGUUGAACCGAAAAAUGUAGAAAACGACGACGACGACUGCACAGGAGGUCGUCGUCGUCGUCACGCACAGCCGGGCGGGCCACGGCGUUUGGUGAAGAACCAAACGGCCCGGUAGCUGUUCUCGGCUGGAAACGAACACGUUGUGUUUUGUAGGUAGCGCCCGAUCGCUCUUCCGGCGCUGACUAAUAAAACAUCGUCGUCCGUCGCUGACGACGGCCGCGGGCGUGUGACAUUGAAACCGGAGGCCCCCGUCAGCCGCCCGUCCUCACGUGGUGGCGCGCCGUCCGACCGGAUUCCUCGG